CGCCCGGGGCCCCGGGCCGAGCGCCGACGAGCGGGGGCGGAGGCCCGCCCCUUGCAGACGUCACCGCGCGGCGGCCGCUGCCGGUGUGAACCGGUUGAUGAAUGGCGAAGUGCUGGAGUCGUAGCAUCUCCAGGGCGGGGGAGGGAACGGGCAGUGGAUGGACUAGGGGUGGACGAAGUCUACGGUGGGGUAGGGAUGGGAGCGAGAGGAGGUUUCAAUCGACUGUAAAGAAUCACGCCGGAAGCCCUGGUUCUCGUAGUGAAAAGCGCCGCGGAGUGCGCACAUGUCACAUGGGGAGCUUUGAAGUUGCCUCAAACUUAACAUGCAAUCCCUUUAGGGCUGGAACCGUGUCUCAGUCCGACCCUACUUUCUUCUGCCAUAAGUCAAACCACAGUCAUCUUUGCCAGCGGUUUACCUUGGCACCUGCGCCACUAUGAUCUCCGUCAUCAAAUAAUAUUUAUGUCGCACGGCAGCUGUACCCGGUGACUCAACACCUUGGAUGCCACGGCCCUAGGCUCGGACAAGGUGAAUACUUGUCGCCGGGGGCACUUUCAAGGAGGGAGAAAUCUAGCAAACUUUUGCUACGGGAGACUGGGAGAGUACCUUGUGAGGCAGAUAAAGCCCCAUGCUUCCAAAGUCUUUUUUUGGUCACGCCUCCAUACUACACACGCGGGCGACUGCAGUUGGCUCAGUUGUGGCAUUUCGAAAUCACAUGCAUCCUUUGUACUGCUGCUCACUUGAUGUGUUGUCACAGAUAAUGAAAGCAUCGGCACCUGCACUUAUUAGCAGAUCUCCAGACUGAGCCACAUGGCUAAUAGUGGUCCAGACAUCCAAAGGGGAAGAUUGUGGGAACAGAAGGAAGAUGAUGACUAGAUACUCAGAAGAGUAAAGUCUAAUGAUUUGAAGGUUGUCAGUUUUGUCCAGCUCUGUCUAGGGAAGAAACACCGAAUCUGUACACUAUAAGCAUGCUGGUUAUU
This is a long non-coding RNA of Hyaena hyaena (striped hyena), 977 nucleotides long. RefSeq lists it as uncharacterized. Lineage: Eukaryota; Metazoa; Chordata; Mammalia; Carnivora; Hyaenidae. The transcript is spliced from 3 exons. The record is from RefSeq and is a predicted model, not a curated record.